Molecule: non-coding RNA, 65 nt
Organism: Dipodomys ordii (Ord's kangaroo rat)
Lineage: Eukaryota; Metazoa; Chordata; Mammalia; Rodentia; Heteromyidae
Source: Rfam
GGUGGCUCAAUAGUAGAGUGCUUGCCUUGCAUGCAUGAGGCCCUGGGUUCGAUUCCUCAGUACCA